CGUGUUGGGACACAGGGCGCCCUUGGCAACGUUGGCCGCAUUGCCCCAUCCCGGCCCGAAGCAGAGCUGCCGGGCCCGGCACGUCCCGCAGACUCAGGCUUGGCCCCGCGCCCCGUACUCGGCUCCGGGCUGACCCCUCCACCUCAUCGCGGCGGUGGGCAGCAGCCAUGGGACUCCGCAACCCGCGGCAGGAGCCGAACGUCGGCCUCCGCAACCUAGGCUGAAAGGGAAGCCGUGUGCGUUGUCCUGAAGCGCAGACGCGAUGGAGACCACCCAGAGCCGCGCAGGAGAUCCAGCCUCAGAGAAGGCAUUGGUUUCUGACUUUGCCAAACCCAGGCGGAGAGUCUCUCCAGGAAGAAAUGAACUUUUUCUCCCAGAAGUCUCCCAACCUUUCACAAAAAUAUAAAACCGUCUGGAAAAUGAAGCAUCUACCUGGACGGAGAGACACAGUUGAAAAUAAAAGAUUUGUUAGCAAUAGAAUUCAAAGGACAAAAGAAUCUGUGUGAUGCUACAGAUGAAAGCUCUACCCAGAGCCAUAUAUUCAAGGGCAAAGAUCAUGUUUUAUAAUGAGAAGCAGCAUGAUAUGAUGGAAGGAGGUGAAGUUUUGCAGUUAAACAGAUUGUCCCAUCUUAUGGACAGUGAAACUGAGAAUUAAUCAGAUGAAGUAACUUGUCCAGUCAUACUGCUGUUAAGUGAUGAAGUCUGGAUGAUAAUCCAGGGCAUAUAGCCAGAUGACUAUAUACCAGAGCGUCUUAUACCAAGGUGCAGCCAGAUGACUGAGUUCUCGUCAAUGGAAGGAAAAGUGGUGAUAUGUAGCGUUUCUGAGCUUGGUGCAUAAAAAAUCUCCCAUGAUAGGCUCUCUAUGCUCUUUUCCUUCACAUGAAUUGAUGCAGAGGGAUAUGGCAACAUUAGAAAUUGUAUGUUGAAGCUGGUGGAGCCACAAUAUGGAAGGAGCCUAGGACCCUGAAUCAGUGCCCAGAGGCGAGCCCCAGUUAAUCAGGAACACUCAUUUUGAUGAGCCCACAUAUGCCCCCAUCUCCACCUUGACACUGGAAUUCUGAUUAAAAUGAAACAGCAAUAGAACAGAGGUCAAGAACUUGGAAGGAUUCAUAUGGAGGAAACCAGAAAGAAGUGAUCCCAAAGCAAAGCUGGUUUUCAGCAGCCUCUCCGCUCCCAAAUGCGACUGGCAUCAAAGUCUAAUGAAAACCUGUUUGCGGACACUGGAUCCAAUCCAAGGUACACCAUUGGCAUAUUCUAGACCCCUUGGGACAUGACUCAUAUAAAAAACACAGGGCUGUCAUCGGACGGCUGGUGGCUCAAAUAAAUCAAAUUUACUUUGAAAACUGAGGCAUACCAAAAUUUUAUUAGGUGAAACUUUGGCAUUUCUUAUAGCCAACUUGCACAUAUAUAUUUUUAUUACUUACAGCAGUUAAAAGGUAUGCUACCAAUCAUAUGCAAAACAAGAAAAGAUUGCAGAGUACAUUUUUUACUGGGUGGUAGUAGGAACUACCCUUUAAAAAAAAAAAAAAAGGAACUCCAAAUAAUAAGUUAGUAAUAGGUGGCGUCAAAGAAUGCAGCCCAGUGUUUGCGUAAUUCACAAGCCCUAUGGUGCAAACUUCUCCAUUGCACUUCCAUUUAGCACACCCCAUAGCUAGUCUUAAAGAAUGACUUUUACCCCAAAGUGAUUUCUUGCUCACUAAAACUAUCAACUGUACCACACUUCAUGGGAUGAUGACAGAUAGUGUUUAUAAUGUGCAUUUAUGAGAAACAGACACGAACAUACACAAGUUCCUGAUGACCUAAAAAGGAUUAAACUUUAAGCUUCAAAGGCCUACUACUGCUUAUGCUCUAACUUGUGCACUGAGUUAGUUUCAAAUUCCAGAUUAGGAAAGGUUAGUCUUCUCUUGAAUGAAAUAUUAGAAACUUCUUUUUUUCUAUGUCUCAUAUGUAUUUCUUAAAUAUGUUAAUUGGUCAUAAAAGACAUACCAGAUAAAAGGUCCUUGUCCAAUGACUAGCAUAUUUACAAACUAACAUUUACUUUUAAGGCCACAUCUAUCACAUUUUAAAAGUUGUGGUGGUUUAUUUUCCUAAAGUGGCAACUACUUCAAGAGUUUUACGUGGUGAUAUGUGUUCUAAUGCGUAUAUGUUUUAGUACCCACACACACAGAUACCAAUUUUACCUUGUAAUACAUAGAUUUCGAUGGGCAAGCUUGGACCAGAACCUCUCAAAGAUUUUGGUGCACCUACAAUGUUCACUUUUAAAAUACUGAGUUUUGCAUUGAAUUCAUAUUGUUGUUUUAAAAUUAUCAAACUGGUAUAAGUCACAUAUAAUUGUAAAUAAAUUCAGAAAAUGUGUAUCAUCUAUUAAAAUCGUAAUGUCGUGUAUUUUUAAAAGAUAUUUUAGAAAUAUAUUUGGAUAGGGGUGCCUGGGUGGCUUAGUCGGUUGAGCGUCCGACUUUGGCUCAGGUCAUGAUCUCACAGCUUGUGAGUUCGAGCCCAGCAUCAGGCUCUGUGCUGACAGCUCGGAGCCUGAAGCCUGCUUCAGAUUCUGUGUCUCCCUCUCUCUCUGCCCCUACCCCUCUCACACUCUGUCUCUCUCAAUCUCUCUCUCAAAGAUAAAUAAACAUAAAAAAAAAAAAAAAGAAAUAUAUUUGGAUAUAUUCUUUGGAUAUAGCUUUGAGUAUUUCAGUAUUGUUCUAGGAAAGACCACCCACCCUUUUUCCUCAUAAUUCACUGGGUGAGCUGUGGCUGGCAUCGCAGGGAAACUCAACUUUCUCUGUGUUGUAGUGUGUUCUUAUUGACUGAGAAAAAGGUCAACUUAAAGGCUCAAAUCAACUAUUUUGACUGAAUUUACCCAUCACUUAAGGAAAUCACUUACUCUGAAUACAGGUUUGACCAGUAAUUUGUCAGAACAGAAAUCACUUUAUUUAAAAUGGCUCAGUAAUUUUCACACAUAGAUGUAGCCUCAAUAAAAUCUGUGAGAAAGGAACAACAGACUGAUCUGGCCAUGGAAGGCACCAAAGGAGCACAUCUGUACUCAAUGAACAAGUAAUUGUUCAAGGCUUAUUACCUGCUGAGCAUGGUGCUAGAACCACGAAGAAUGGAAAAGAAGCAUAAAAAAGUGUUCCUGUCCUUAAAUUGCUUGCAGUCUGGUUGAGAAUUCAUGAACAAUUACAGGAAUUAUCCCAAGAGCAGUACAAGACACUAAGUCGAUCCAUGCCAAAUAGUGUAAGUAACACAUCUAUUUCAUGGAAGUGGGCUCUGUUCAGAGUUUGGAAGGACAGUAUUGUGAUGGGGAGAAAGACAGGAGUGGUUGAGGCCAGCCCUGCAGGAGCUGGCCUCAUUCAUGGCUGCAGAUGCUUGCUCCUCUCCCCCAUCCCUACCCUGGCUUCAAUAGCCUUUUCCCUCUGAACAGAUUACUGGUUUUGACUUGAUACUUUACUUUUAAUUUUGUUUAGAAAACAAGUAAAAUUAAAGGCAAAGUGUGAACUGGGAAAAAGAUUUGCCACAUCUCUGAUAAGAGGUUAAUAUCUUAAGAACAAUUAGCAGUUAGGAAGGUGAGGCAAAUACACCAACAGAAAAAUAUAUGAGCAAAAGACCACAAGUAGGCAAUCAACAGAAGAAGUACACUGUGUCAGUUACAACAUGACAAAAUAUUUAAUUUCAUUCAUAAUUAAAGCAAUGCAAAUUAAAACUGUAAAGGAAUAUAAUUUUUGCCAAUUUUGUUCACAGACAAUGAGAGGAUAUAUUGAUGUAAUAAUUUUGGAAAGCACUUGGCAGUCUGUAUUAGAGGCCUUAAAAUAUGUAACAAUCUUUGACCCAGCAAUUCCAUUUCUGGGAUAUUUUCCUUUUUUUAAAUUUUUUUUUUUUAUUUGAGAGAGAGAGCGUGUGAGCAGGGGAAGGGCACAGGGAGAGGGAGAGAGAAUCUUAAGCAGGCUCUGUGCCCAGCAUGGGGCCCGACAUGGGGCUUGAUCUCACAAUCAUGAGAUCAUGACCUGAGGUGAAAUCAAAAGUCGGACACUUAACCAGCUGAGCCACCCAGGCACCUUUGAGACAUUUUCUUUAGGGAAUAGUUAUGGAUGUGUUCAGAGGCUUACAGAUAAGGACGAUUACAGCAUUGUUUAAGAUUUAAAAAUUUGGAAAUAACACAAAAAUCUCGUAACAGAGGACUGUUCACGAUAAUUAAAGUUUAAAAUUAACUUGUGAAAUAAUACUUAGUGAUAUUGAAAUAUGUCCUAUACACCAAGAUACGGUGUGGAUUAUAAAACAUUAUAUGGAAUACAUUACACAUUUCAGAAAAAACAGAAAAAAGCCUGGAAAACAAUACAUUACUAUUUAGCCAGUGUAAUAAUAAUUCUCUGGGUGGUGGGAAUACAGGUUACUUUAUCUGAGUCUAUUUUUUAAUUCAAAAAAUAUACUGUUUUUGUUACUUAAGGAAAUAUAUUCACAAAACAGUGCUACAAAGAAGAGUUUGAGACUAAAGCUACUUGUACAUAUUGAAGAUGGUUUUCUGAGGCUACAGUAUGGAUGCUUGCUAUGCAUUGCUUAGAAAUUUUUCUGGAAUUUAUUAAAUAUGCAUUUCCAGCAGGGAUUUAUGAUAAUGUCAUUUCUUUUCAUUGUAGUUUCAACAAGAGGGAGCAUUUAAUAAUUUUAUAGGGUAAUGCUAAUUUACUUCUAAAUUCAUCUCUUGGAAUUUCUUUUUUAAAAUGCUGCAUUUGUGCUUGUUUCAUCAAAGUGACAGCCAGCAGUUAAAUUUUUUAAAUCACAAUUAAUAGAUAUAAAAGUGAAACAUUUAAUGUGUCUAAUUGGACAAAGUUUUAUAGUUAUUUAUUGACAGAUUUAAGAGGCCUUUUCUAAAACAUUCUUGGUUCUGGAAAACUGGAAACAAGAAGAUAUUUGCUGAAUGUUCUUCCUGUAUGACUUACCUCAUAAGAAUUUAAGAGCAGCACAAAAACUCCAAGAUCUCACCAAGCUUUGCUUUAUGACUUUGAAUGUAACUCAUUCUUGACUGCCUUAAUUAACAGAAGAAAUAGUGGAGGUGAUCACAUGCAAUAAAUAAUCAAAAUCUGUCUAUUAUUGUCCUUGUAACACAUAAUUUUCAACAAAUAUGCCAAUUAUAUCAAAUAUAAUUGCUACGCAUUGCUUAGAAAUUUGACUAUUGAAAAUAGGAUGAGUUUUGGGGGCAUACAGAAAUGUUAGAUAUCUAAGGAAAGUGGAUUUGAAUUUUCAAUAAUUCUGAGGAGAAACAAGAUAGAUCAUGGAUUUAAAAAAGUUGUGCCAUGUUUCUUUGCCAGUUUGGCUCCCAAUUUUAACUCAAAACAUAAGGAUAUGAUUAACUUGCAGAAAUUAUUUCUUCUGGAAGAGUGAAAGUUUCUUCUCACUCAUACUUACUCUGGAAAUGGAAGGGCUUUCCCAGACUGUCUCAGUGUGACAGAUUUUCUUUAGGUUGAAUCAGACCUUUGGGCCAAAGUCCUUUAUCAACCAGUCAACAGUAGAACUUUUCUCAGUCAUGAAAAAUGAUCUUUUUCUCUUUAUAAGCAUUCUUGGGAAUGGGGGAAGUUUUCUUCAGGUUUAAUUUAUAAGUUAGAGGAACAUUUUUUUUCCAUGGUUAGAAUGGUUUUGUUUGUUUCCCAUAGAUUAAAAACAAGAACAUGGACAGUCUCUGAGGUUUUUAAUGAAGGAACCGAGGAAGAAUAACCAGAGUUGUGCUUAUUCAAGUAAACGGAACCCAGUGGUGAUAAAACAAGAUCCUUUGCUGAGGGAAUUCUCUUUUGUAAACUAGACUCUACAUCAAGUGAUUCCAAAGCCUGAUCCCAACCUUGUCACCAACUUGACCCCUCUUCCAACCUCAUUAGUCAAGCAAAACUCCUUCUGGUGACAAUCUGAAGCAAACUGUUUAGCUCUAAGGGCUGGAUAUUAUAAUGAUUUUACCCUGUAGCCUGACUUGUAACUACAGUUGUCUGGGACCCUCACACAGCUUCUUUUUCAGAUAGUUCCCUUGCAUUUAUCUUUGCUCCUCCUCCACAGCUGCUUUCCCCUCCUCAUUAAAGAUUUAAGAGCAGCUAACUAUGGAGAGGUGCUCAUAUGGCUGAAGUUUUACUAGUUUUGUAAAAGACAGUGUGGCAUACUCAUGUUCCCAAGCAUUACAAAUAAAACUAGAAUGCAUUUAGCAAAAUUAAAGGAAGAAUGGUGAGGAAAACACUAUACUAGGAAUCAGGACACUUACAUUCUUGUAUCUUCUCAUCCAUGAGCACUGUCAUUAAACUGGUCAUUUAAUGACAUUUCUUCCUGCCUCCAUUUCCUUCUCUGAAAGAAAUAAGAGCUGUGCUAACCAUGAUCUUUCCAGAGUGAG
Molecule: long non-coding RNA, 6352 nt
Organism: Acinonyx jubatus (cheetah)
Lineage: Eukaryota; Metazoa; Chordata; Mammalia; Carnivora; Felidae
Exons: 6
Source: RefSeq, a predicted model, not a curated record